GGGGACCUUCGGGCCUCUCGCGUCAGGAUAUGCCCAGGUGGGAUUAGCUAGUUGGUGAGGUAAUGGCUCACCAAGGCGACGAUCCCUAGCUGGUCUGAGAGGAUGAUCAGCCACACUGGAACUGAGACACGGUCCAGACUCCUACGGGAGGCAGCAGUGGGGAAUAUUGCACAAUGGGCGCAAGCCUGAUGCAGCCAUGCCGCGUGUAUGAAGAAGGCCUUCGGGUUGUAAAGUACUUUCAGCAGUGAGGAAGGUUCAUGCGUUAAUAGCGUAUGGAUUUGACGUUAGCUGCAGAAGAAGCACCGGCUAACUCCGUGCCAGCAGCCGCGGUAAUACGGAGGGUGCGAGCGUUAAUCGGAAUUACUGGGCGUAAAGCGCAUGCAGGUGGUUUGUUAAGUCA
This 400-nucleotide ribosomal RNA is filed under the name Vibrio coralliilyticus. Its description in RNAcentral is "bacterial SSU rRNA". It matches the Rfam family "Bacterial small subunit ribosomal RNA", at positions 202 to 590 of the family's 1533-position model. Lineage: Bacteria; Pseudomonadati; Pseudomonadota; Gammaproteobacteria; Vibrionales; Vibrionaceae. The record is from RNAcentral.